CAAUAGCGUAUAUUUAAGUUGUUGCAGUUAAAAAGCUCGUAGUCGGAUUUUGGCUGAGAACGAACGGUCCGCCGUUAGGUGUGCACUGUUUGGUCUCAGCUUCCUGGUGAGGAGGUGUGCUUCACGGCCACUUAGUCACCGUGGUUACUUUGAAAAAAUUAGAGUGUUCAAAGCGGGCUUACGCUUGAAUAUAUUAGCAUGGAAUAACACCAUAGGACUCCUGUCCUAUUUCGUUGGUCUUGGGACGGGAGUAAUGAUUAAGAGGAACAGUUGGGGGCAUUCGUAUUUCAUUGUCAGAGGUGAAAUUCUUGGAUUUAUGAAAGACGAACUUCUGCGAAAGCAUUUGCCAAGGAUGUUUUCAUUGA
RNAcentral lists this ribosomal RNA (365 nucleotides) under uncultured eukaryote. RNAcentral describes it as "partial 18S ribosomal RNA". It matches the Rfam family "Eukaryotic small subunit ribosomal RNA", at positions 592 to 976 of the family's 1831-position model. The record is from RNAcentral.